UUGGCUCAGGAUGAACGCUGGCGGCAGGCUUAACACAUGCAAGUCGAGGGGUAACGCGAGGUAGCAAUACUUUGGCGACGACCGGCGCACGGGUGCGUAACGCGUAUGCAACCUACCUGUAACAGGGGUAUAACGGAGGGAAACUUCCACUAAUCCCCCAUAUUGUUGUGGUACCGCAUGAUAUUACAACGAAAGCUUCGGUGGUUACGGAUGGGCAUGCGUGACAUUAGCUAGUUGGUAAGGUAACGGCUUACCAAGGCGACGAUGUCUAGGGGAGCUGAGAGGCUUAUCCCCCACACUGGUACUGAGACACGGACCAGACUCCUACGGGAGGCAGCAGUGGGGAAUA
This 349-nucleotide ribosomal RNA is filed under the name uncultured rumen bacterium. RNAcentral describes it as "bacterial SSU rRNA". It matches the Rfam family "Bacterial small subunit ribosomal RNA", at positions 19 to 363 of the family's 1533-position model. The record is from RNAcentral.